AUUUUAAUAGCUUAUUAGAGCGAUACAUUGAAGAUGUAGAGGAGAUUGGAUUAUCUUAAAGUA
Molecule: transfer RNA, 63 nt
Filed under: Bostrichoidea sp. 2 KM-2017
Lineage: Eukaryota; Metazoa; Arthropoda; Insecta; Coleoptera
Description: tRNA-Phe
Source: RNAcentral